CGAGCUGACCGAGUAAUCGCUGCAUUGCAGAGGAAAGUCCGGGCUCCAUAGGAAAAAGUGCCAGGUAACUCCUGGAGGUAAGUUUUAAAAGCUUACUAUGGAAAGUGCAACAGAAAAUAAACCGCCUUAGGGUAAGGUUGAAAAGGUGAGGUAAGAGCUCACCGUGUUUUUUGGUAACAAAGAACAGCUAGGUAAACCCCACUUGGAGCAAGGCCAAAUAGAGAUUUUAUAAUGUUUUCCGCAUUGAAUCUGGGUAGGCCGCUAGAAAUUCAUGGCGACAUGAGUUCGAGAUGAAUGAUUACUUCAAACAGAACCCGGCUUAUGAGUCAGCUCAAUCC
RNAcentral lists this RNase P RNA (338 nucleotides) under Gammaproteobacteria bacterium. RNAcentral describes it as "RNase P RNA component class A". It matches the Rfam family "Bacterial RNase P class A". From Rfam's summary of the family: Ribonuclease P (RNase P) is a ubiquitous endoribonuclease, found in archaea, bacteria and eukarya as well as chloroplasts and mitochondria. Lineage: Bacteria; Pseudomonadati; Pseudomonadota; Gammaproteobacteria. The record is from RNAcentral.